GACGAACGCUGGCGGCGUGCCUAAUACAUGCAAGUUGAGCGCUGAAGGUUGGUACUUGUACCAACUGGAUGAGCAGCGAACGGGUGAGUAACGCGUGGGGAAUCUGCCUUUGAGCGGGGGACAACAUUUGGAAACGAAUGCUAAUACCGCAUAAAAACUUUAAACACAAGUUUUAAGUUUGAAAGAUGCAAUUGCAUCACUCAAAGAUGAUCCCGCGUUGUAUUAGCUAGUUGGUGAGGUAAAGGCUCACCAAGGCGAUGAUACAUAGCCGACCUGAGAGGUUGAUCGGCCACCUUGGGACUGAGACACGGCCCAAACUCCUACGGGAGGCAGCAGUAGGGAAUCUUCGGCAAUGGACGAAAGUCUGACCGAGCAACGCCGCGUGAGUGAAGAAGGUUUUCGGAUCGUAAAACUCUGUUGGUAGAGAAGAACGUUGGUGAGAGUGGAAAGCUCAUCAAGUGACGGUAACUACCCAGAAAGGGACGGCUAACUACGUG
RNAcentral lists this ribosomal RNA (497 nucleotides) under uncultured bacterium. RNAcentral describes it as "partial 16S ribosomal RNA". It matches the Rfam family "Bacterial small subunit ribosomal RNA", at positions 28 to 507 of the family's 1533-position model. The record is from RNAcentral.